Molecule: ribosomal RNA, 311 nt
Filed under: uncultured bacterium
Lineage: Bacteria
Description: bacterial SSU rRNA
Rfam family: Bacterial small subunit ribosomal RNA
Source: RNAcentral
GAUGAACGCUAGCGGCAGGCCUAACACAUGCAAGUCGAACGGUAACAGAGAGAGCUUGCUCUUUGCUGACGAGUGGCGAACGGGUGAGUAACGCGUAUGCAACCUACCUUUAACUGGGAGAUAGCCCCGAGAAAUCGGGAUUAAUACCCCAUAACAUUACGAAAACUCAUGUUUUUGUAAUUAAAGCUUCGGCGGUUAAAGAUGGGCAUGCGGGACAUUAGCUAGUUGGUGAGGUAAUAGCUCACCAAGGCUACGAUGUCUAGGGGGCCUGAGAGGGUUAUCCCCCACACUGGUACUGAGACACGGACCAG